RNAcentral lists this unclassified non-coding RNA (507 nucleotides) under uncultured Entrophospora. RNAcentral describes it as "SSU rRNA". It matches the Rfam family "Eukaryotic small subunit ribosomal RNA", at positions 591 to 1092 of the family's 1831-position model. The record is from RNAcentral. Lineage: Eukaryota; Fungi; Glomeromycota; Glomeromycetes; Entrophosporales; Entrophosporaceae.
CCAAUAGCGUAUAUUAAAGUUGUUGCAGUUAAAAAGCUCGUAGUUGAAUUUCGGGAUUGGCGCAUCGGUCGUGCCUCACGGGGUAUGAACUGGUGCAGUCAAUUUCUCACCUUCUGGAGAACCGCGAUGUCCUUAAUUGGGUGCCGCGGGGAACCAGGACCUUUACUUUGAAAAAAUUAGAGUGUUUAAAGCAGGCAUUUUUGCUUGAAUACAUUAGCAUGGAAUAAUAAAAUAGGACGGUAUGGUUCUAUUUUGUUGGUUUCUAGGACCACCGUAAUGAUUAAUAGGGAUAGUUGGGGGCAUUAGUAUUCAAUUGUCAGAGGUGAAAUUCUUGGAUUUAUUGAAGACUAACUACUGCGAAAGCAUUUGCCAAGGAUGUUUUCAUUAAUCAAGAACGAAAGUUAGGGGAUCGAAGACGAUCAGAUACCGUCGUAGUCUUAACCAUAAACUAUGCCGACUAGGAAUCAGACGAUGUUAAUUUUUUAAUGACUCGUUUGGCACCUUACG